GACGAACGCUGGCGGCGCGCCUAACACAUGCAAGUCGAACGAGCGAGCGAGAGCUUGCUUUCUCAAGCGAGUGGCGAACGGGUGAGUAACGCGUGAGGAACCUGCCUCAAAGAGGGGACAACAGUUGGAAACGACUGCUAAUACCGCAUAAGCCCACAGGUCGGCAUCGACCCGAGGGAAAAGGAGCAAUCCGCUUUGAGAUGGCCUCGCGUCCGAUUAGCUAGUUGGUAAGGUAACGGCCCACCAAGGCAACGAUCGGUAGCCGGACUGAGAGGUUGAACGGCCACAUUGGGACUGAGACACGGCCCAGACUCCUACGGGAGGCAGCAGUGGGGAAUAUUGCACAAUGGGGGAAACCCUGAUGCAGCGACGCCGCGUGGAGGAAGAAGGUCUUCGGAUUGUAAACUCCUGUUGUUGAGGAAGAUAAUGACGGUACUCAACAAGGAAGUGACGGCUAACUACGUG
RNAcentral lists this ribosomal RNA (465 nucleotides) under uncultured bacterium. Its description in RNAcentral is "partial 16S ribosomal RNA". It matches the Rfam family "Bacterial small subunit ribosomal RNA", at positions 28 to 507 of the family's 1533-position model. The record is from RNAcentral.